RNAcentral lists this microRNA (22 nucleotides) under Oryctolagus cuniculus (rabbit). RNAcentral describes it as "ocu-miR-509a-5p". Its record names the gene ocu-miR-509a-5p. The record is from miRBase by way of RNAcentral. Lineage: Eukaryota; Metazoa; Chordata; Mammalia; Lagomorpha; Leporidae.
ACUCCAGAGAGUGACAAUCAUG